Long non-coding RNA from Empidonax traillii (willow flycatcher), 1149 nucleotides. RefSeq lists it as uncharacterized. The transcript has 4 exons. The record is from RefSeq and is a predicted model, not a curated record. NCBI's taxonomy places the organism in Eukaryota, Metazoa, Chordata, Aves, Passeriformes, Tyrannidae.
CUGUGACUGCAUCUCUGAUCUUGGCCCUGAGAAGGAAUGGAGACAUCCGCACUGCCAGAUGCAGCCAGCUGUGCACCCCACAGGAGGAACACAUCUCAUUGAGCCGGGGCUUUGGCGACGACAGGUUCAUCCGGCGGCGGACGCGGCGUGGUGUCGGCGUCGGGAUCCUGGCGAGGCUUUCCUGGGGAGCAGCCUGUCAUCGCCCCGGGAGCACCGAGCAGCUCCUCACAGCACGGGGUGAGUUUGCAGCAUCCUAACAAGAACACGUCGCUCUCAGGGCUGCAACCAAUAUACAAGUCCAUUGGCAGCAGAUGCCUUUUCCCAUAUGCCUGGCUCUGGGCUGUGUCACUUCUGGCAAUGGGAAAUUACUGCUCUUCGCUGCCGUGGGGGAAGGAGAAGGUUGCUUAAAAUGAUUUUGAAUUACGAAGUCAAGAAGCGAUUCUCCUACAGCACAGGUGUAAUACUGACGUCACAGCAAUUUGAGAUUUCUGCACAACCUUCUCUGAAGAAGAUUAACAUGAGUGAAGAAGCCAAUUGCUGAGCUCCUGCCCCAGCACUGUGUUGCUGUGGUGGCACUGGGCACUCUUCAGAGUCUGGUCAAGUCUAAAGUCCUUCAAGGGGAGCACAGAGGACCGUGGACAUCGAAUGGCUCUUUAAUUCCUGAAGUGGGAUCCCAUAUCAUACCUGCAGCCAUCUUCAUGCCUUCCCUCCCCUUGUCUCAGAUGCAAUUCCCAACACCCCUGCGUGUCCAUCUCCAUCACAGCACAAGGGGGGAUGUGAUUUCAGCACGGACCAUCUGGCCGCAGGCUGGCAUCGUGGAAUCCGUGUGCCAUUCCAGCACAGCCCAAGAUGUCACCAGCAAAAGCUGGAAUACCACUCAGUGCAGAAUUACAGAUCAGCUGUCCAAGCAGGACCAGAUGGCACCACCAUGCCAAGGACAACAAACAGUUAUUAAGUUGUCAGACUCUGAACCAAAGUGAGCCUGAGCUGCCGACUUCUUGCCUUUUCUGUGCACAAUCCCCAGGAACGAGCUGUCCCAAAAGACACUGCAGAAAGGUUCCUGGAGAGGGCACUUGAACAACUCUCUCUGGGCCACAGGGUGUCCCUCGAGGAGCCCCAGUGCCCCAGGAGCUGGGCUGGCAGCACUCG